CACUGCCGAGAAAAGCCUCUAGAUAGAAAAUAGGUGCCCGUACCGCAAACCGACACAGGUAGUCAAGAUGAGAAUUCUAAGGUGAGCGAGCGAACUCUCGUUAAGGAACUCGGCAAAAUGACCCCGUAACUUCGGGAGAAGGGGUGCUCUUUAGGGUUAACGCCCAGAAGAGCCGCAGUGAAUAGGCCCAAGCGACUGUUUAUCAAAAACACAGGUCUCUGCUAAACCGUAAGGUGAUGUAUAGGGGCUGACGCCUGCCCGGUGCUGGAAGGUUAAGAGGAGUGGUUAGCUUCUGCGAAGCUACGAAUCGAAGCCCCAGUAAACGGCGGCCGUAACUAUAACGGUCCUAAGGUAGCGAAAUUCCUUGUCGGGUAAGUUCCGACCCGCACGAAAGGCGUAACGAUUUGGGCACUGUCUCAACGAGAGACUCGGUGAAAUCAUAGUACCUGUGAAGAUGCAGGUUACCCGCGACAGGACGGAAAGACCCCGUGGAGCUUUACUGUAGCCUGAUAUUGAAAUUCGGCACAGCUUGUACAGGAUAGGUAGGAGCCUUUGAAACGUGAGCGCUAGCUUACGUGGAGGCGCUGGUGGGAUACUACCCUAGCUGUGUUGGCUUUCUAACCCGCACCACUUAUCGUGGUGGGAGACAGUGUCAGGCGGGCAGUUUGACUGGGGCGGUCGCCUCCUAAAAGGUAACGGAGGCGCUCAAAGGUUCCCUCAGAAUGGUUGGAAAUCAUUCAUAGAGUGUAAAGGCAUAAGGGAGCUUGACUGCGAGACCUACAAGUCGAGCAGGGUCGAAAGACGGACUUAGUGAUCCGGUGGUUCCGCAUGGAAGGGCCAUCGCUCAACGGAUAAAAGCUACCCCGGGGAUAACAGGCUUAUCUCCCCCAAGAGUUCACAUCGACGGGGAGGUUUGGCACCUCGAUGUCGGCUCAUCGCAUCCUGGGGCUGUAGUCGGUCCCAAGGGUUGGGCUGUUCGCCCAUUAAAGCGGUACGCGAGCUGGGUUCAGAACGUCGUGAGACAGUUCGGUCCCUAUCCGUCGUGGGCGUAGGAAAUUUGAGAGGAGCUGUCCUUAGUACGAGAGGACCGGGAUGGACAUACCUCUGGUGUACCAGUUGUCGUGCCAACGGCAUAGCUGGGUAGCUAUGUGUGGACGGGAUAAGUGCUGAAAGCAUCUAAGCAUGAAGCCCCCCUCAAGAUGAGAUUUCCCAACUUCGGUUAUAAGAUCCCUCAAAGAUGAUGAGGUUAAUAGGUUCGAGGUGGAAGCAUGGUGACAUGUGG
RNAcentral lists this ribosomal RNA (1282 nucleotides) under Staphylococcus aureus. RNAcentral describes it as "partial 23S ribosomal RNA". It matches the Rfam family "Bacterial large subunit ribosomal RNA", at positions 1603 to 2888 of the family's 2925-position model. The record is from RNAcentral. Lineage: Bacteria; Bacillati; Bacillota; Bacilli; Caryophanales; Staphylococcaceae.